This 253-nucleotide ribosomal RNA is filed under the name uncultured bacterium. Its description in RNAcentral is "partial 16S ribosomal RNA". It matches the Rfam family "Bacterial small subunit ribosomal RNA", at positions 524 to 776 of the family's 1533-position model. The record is from RNAcentral.
UACGUAGGGCGCAAGCGUUGUCCGGAAUUAUUGGGCGUAAAGAGCUCGUAGGCGGCUUGUCGCGUCGGUUGUGAAAGCCCGGGGCUUAACCCCGGGUCUGCAGUCGAUACGGGCAGGCUAGAGUUCGGUAGGGGAGAUCGGAAUUCCUGGUGUAGCGGUGAAAUGCGCAGAUAUCAGGAGGAACACCGGUGGCGAAGGCGGAUCUCUGGGCCGAUACUGACGCUGAGACGCGAAAGCGUGGGGAGCGAACAGG